GAUGAACGCUAGCGGCAGGCUUAACACAUGCAAGUCGAGGGGGUAACAGGGUAGCGAUACCGCUGACGACCGGCAAACGGGUGCGGAACACGUACGCAAUCUACCGUUGUCUGGGGUAUAGCCCGGAGAAAUCCGGGAUUAAUCCCCCAUAAGAUAUUGGAGUGGCAUCACUCAGAUAUUAAAACUCAGGUGGACAAUGAUGAGCGUGCGUCCCAUUAGCUAGNGGUAGGGUAACGGCCUACCAAGGCGACGAUGGGUAGCUGGUGUGAGAGCACGGACCAGCCACACGGGCACUGAGACACGGGCCCGACUCCUACGGGAGCAGCAGUGAGGAAUAUUGGUCAAUGGACNCAAGUCUGAACCAGCCAUGCCG
RNAcentral lists this ribosomal RNA (373 nucleotides) under uncultured bacterium. RNAcentral's name for it is "bacterial SSU rRNA". It matches the Rfam family "Bacterial small subunit ribosomal RNA", at positions 28 to 399 of the family's 1533-position model. The record is from RNAcentral.